Molecule: ribosomal RNA, 19 nt
Filed under: Opisthorchis viverrini
Lineage: Eukaryota; Metazoa; Platyhelminthes; Trematoda; Opisthorchiida; Opisthorchiidae
Also listed under: 22 other names
Description: partial 18S ribosomal RNA
Source: RNAcentral
AACCUGCGGAAGGAUCAUU